RNA transcript from Nasonia vitripennis (jewel wasp), 6054 nucleotides. It is a transcript of the gene named protein mesh, with no coding region annotated. The transcript is spliced from 19 exons. Lineage: Eukaryota; Metazoa; Arthropoda; Insecta; Hymenoptera; Pteromalidae. The record is from RefSeq and is a predicted model, not a curated record.
UUAUAACCAGGCAUUUGUCACUGUAGUACCGUAACCACGAUAUUGUCACUCUGUACAUACGCCUCCGCCCUUUCGUGUACAAUGUGCAUGUGUCGCCUUGGAAUUAGGUCAGAAGGCCCGCUUCUCUUUUUUUCCUCUCUCGACUAUGCCGCUCGUAAGUACAUACAUGCGGCGUUGCCUCACGCCUCGCAUACCUGUCCGCCGCUUCGCGUCAGAUAAGCGGGCCGCUUAUCUUCCCUAUCUCUCGUUAUCGCUCGCUCUGAUUCCCGCUUUUCGACUCUUCUUGAUCUAACUACGCUCAGUUACUCCGCGGCGCUCUCACCUGUGUAAUCGGCUUGCGCGGCCCCAUCGGUGCAGUUUAAUUUAUUUUCUCGGCCCCCGUUAAUCGCACUUUUCCGCUCGUCCGACAGAAGCUUCGCAGACCCGAGGAUUCGCGCGGAUGGGAAGCGGUCAUUGAGGUCCCGUCGAGUUUUCCCACGUGCAUACAAGCGCAGAUUUCGAGAACACGCAGAGGAGACCGUCCGGGAUGCGUCCGCGAGAUUCUCGGAUGUCGCGCGUCGCGGCGCUCGUCCUUCUGAUCGGCCUGUGCGCGCCCGCCUACGCGCAAUCCAACGCGGAGACGUUCGAGAGCGCUUUCGGCCUGAGCAACGCUCAACCGGAGGCCGGCUCCGGCGCCGGGGAAACCUCGCCCGCCGAAGGACCUCACUCGGAGCUGGAAGACCUCGAGGGAGCGAGCAACGACGCCAAGGAGCCCGUGGCCCAGCCCACGAGGGAAGAAUUAGAGGAUCAGCACGAGGUGGACAAGCUAGCCGACGUGGAGGUUCAGCAGGAUCUGGACAGCGGCAGCAGCGGCGACGGCACCGAGGCUCAAGGCCCCAAAGGUUUGUCGCCCAGGAUCCUCGGCAGCGACGAGACCAGCGCCAAAUACGUGAGAUACGACUCUGAUGACCCGGAGGCCGAUCGAUAUGCUCCCCGACCGGAAGAGUCGACACCCAAUUACGUCAUCACGGAAGCGAGGCUCAAGGAGAUCCGCUCCAAGUUCAUGUACUGGUACUUCGAUAAAGGAGGAGAUAACAAUAUGGGUGACUACCAGACCGACAUUCACAACUCGGUCUCCCAGAUCCACAAGAACUUCAACUUCCAGCUGCCGUUCUUCGGAUUCCGUUACAACUACACUCGACUAUCGAUGAACGGCUACCUGGAAUUCAGCGAUCCUCCCGAGCAGUACGACACCUACCCGCUGGUGUUUCCCGUGAAGGACUGGCCGAAAACCAACGACCCGGCCUUCAUCGGCAUUUUCUUCAGCAAGUGCCGUAUCGGUCGCCUGAAGCCCACGGAUCUCGAUCAGCGGAAGCCCGGCGUUUAUUUCCGUCUAGAGCGCGACCUGCACAGACGUACCGACCAGUUCGGCGUGGAGAUGCGCGAGCGCGUCAUGUGGGACAUCCGUGAGGGCGUCGUCGGCGCGGACUUGUUCUACCCUAAGCACGCGGUCCUCGUCACCUGGAAGAACAUGUCCUUCGCCGGUGGCAUCGACAACUCGCUCUUCCGGACCAACACCUUCCAGCUGGUCCUGGCCACCGACGAGGUCUACACCUACGCCAUCUUCAACUACCUCGACAUCUCCUGGACCAGUCACACCGAGGCCGGCGGCGACACCACUGGCGGAGAGGGUGGCGUCCCCGCUUACAUCGGCUUCAACGCCGGAAAUGGAACUCAGAGUUACGAGUACAUGCCGUACUCGCAGGCGUCGACGGUGAGAGACCUGUCGGGUCGAGGAUGGGCGAACGGCUUUCCCGGACGUCACAUCUUCCGUAUUGACGAGAAGAUCAUGCUUGGCACCUGUAACAAGGAUAUCGCCGGAGCUCACUUGCCCCUGGUGUUCGCGCCCGAGAGCGGCAACAUGCUUGGCGGUACUGUGGUCAACAUCACCGGCCCCUGUUUCCAACCGGGCGACAAAAUCCAGUGCCGCUUCGACACGGAGAUAGUCGACGGCACCUACGUCGACACCAACAGGGCCAUUUGCAUCCAGCCGUUCGUCAAAGCCGAGGGCUACAUCCGCUUUGCCGUUGCCGUGAACAACGGCAGGUACGAUUGGAAGGGCAAGUACUUUAUCGAAACACCGGCUUCGGCGACCGAGAAGAUCUUCUUCACGACGCGAGCUGUGCACGACCGCGACCCCGCGGAGAUCAGGAUAUCCUGGAACUCGUACAAUUUGACCAGCAAUCUGAACGCCGUCCUUCAGAUAUCGCUCUGGGGAUACAGAGAGACGACCAUUCGGCCCGAGCUCGAAUUCAUAAACAUGAUCGAGGAAGGGACAGUGAACUCCGGCUCUUACGUCAUCACCCCGGCGAACUACAAGAACCGCAACGAUCCUCUGACCAACGACAUGCAGUUCGGCUUCCUCCAGAUCAACCUCACCAAUCCCAGGCAGUACAGCAACCUGCCCAUAACGCCGGUCCUGUGGAGCAAACCCAUACCGCUGGCCUGGUACUUCGGUCCCCAGUGGGAGCGACUCUACGGCAACAAGUGGCCCCAGCGUCUCUGCGACCAGUGGAUCAUGCACGACCGGUACCUCAAGAACUUUGCCGGCGAGGUCUCGCUCUGCCCCUGCACCCUCGAGCACGCCCUCACCGACAAGGGCCGAUUCCUGCCCGACUACAACUGCGACAAGGACUCGAACCCCGACUGCUACUACAACAAGGGGGCCAUUCACUGCGUCGUCACCGGGGCUCCGAAUCUGGACGGUUCGGAGCAGCAGUGUUGCUACGACAAGAACAACAUGCUGAUGUUGACGUACGACCAGCAAUGGGGCUCGCGGCCGCACCGAUCGCACAACCUCGGCUACCUGCCCUGGAACGAGGCUAACAAAGUGCCGACCCUGUCGCACUGGUUCCACGACAUGGUGCCCAUGUACACCUGCUGCAUCUGGCAGGAGGAGCAGGCGGUCGGCUGCGAGACGUUCAGGUUCGAGAGAAGGCCGUCGCAGGACUGCAUCGCCUACCAGAGCCCGAGCAUCGGCGCCGUCUUCGGGGAUCCCCACGUGGCCACCUUCGACGGGCUGGAGUACACGUUCAACGGAAAGGGCGAGUUCGUCCUCGUCAGGGUGGACGACGUCAAGGACAAGCUCGACAUCCAGGGAAGGUUCGAGCAGCUGCCCAAGAACUUUUACGGGGAGGUCCGCGCCACGCAUCUCACGGCCGUCGCGGCGAGAGGAAACAACUCGGCGACGAUCGAGGUCAGGCUGCGACCGAGUCACGCCCAGUGGCGCUAUCGGCUCGACGUCUUCGCGGACAACAAGCGGGUCUACUUCGACAGGACGUCCUUGAAGUUCCAGCACUUCGCCGGGGUCGUCGUCUACACGCCCACGUACAUCCUCAACCAGAGCGAGGUCAUCAUAAUGUUCGACACCGGGGCCGGGGUCGAGGUCGUCGAGAACCAGGGCUUCCUCACGGCCAGGGUCUACCUUCCCUGGACCUACAUGAACAAAACCCGAGGACUGCUGGGCAACUGGAGCUACGACAUAAUCGACGACCUGACCAACCCGGACGGCAUGAUCUCCUCCAUCAGCAACCUGAACAACUUCGAGGCGGUGCACAAGGACUUUGCGAUAAACUGGCUCCUCGAGGACAGGGAGGACUCGAAGAAGGGCGCUUCUCUGUUCACCCGGGAAUUCGGCCGCACUGCCAGCUACUACGCCAACCGGACCUUCGAGCCCGAGUGGAAGCGCACGCCCGAGGAAAUAUUGCCGGCCAACAGGACGGUCGACGUUAUCCGGGCGCACGAUCUCUGCGGCGACUCUUAUCAGUGCCAGUACGAUUACGCCAUGAGCCUGAAUCGAGAUCUCGCGCAUUUCACGCGCAAUUACUACGACACCUACACCCAGAUACGGGCCACCAACAACAGGAGGAUAAUAUCCUGCGGAAUCCUGGAGACGCCGCGAUUCGGACGGAAAAGCAACUUCCUCUUCGUGCCCGGGACGAGGGUCACCUUCGAGUGCAACCAGGACUUUGUGCUCAUCGGCGACCAGAGGCGCAUCUGCCUGCCCGAGGGCCGCUGGGACAUUCCGGAGUACGGCUACACGGAGUGCCUUCGUCAGCAAGAGUUCAGCUCGAGACAGGCGGGUAUGGCCUCGGGCAUAAUCCUGGUCUGCCUCGUGCCCAUCCUGCUCAUCGUCAUCUGCAUCGCCUUCCGCGUCCUCCAGAGCCGCAAAGAGGAGCGCGAACGAGAGGAGGCCUUGGACAGGACCCGACGGGUGGAGAUGCAGAGGAUCCGGAAGCUCAACGAGGAGGAGAGGCCUGCCUCGAGUCUCGAGGCCAAGAGCACCUAAAUCUGCCGACUGCUAUAUCGAUCGGAUGGAGAGAAGACAAAUCGAGAGUCAUCACGCGCGCGCGCGCUCUCAUGCAUCUUCAACCCUCGAUUUGGAUAGAUAUAUUUAUAACUUAUGCAUAUGUAUACUACUGUCAUGAAAGUCAUAUACCGAUUAAGCAGUUUUGUGUGUGCCCUCUUAUCUGCGCGAGGACGGCUGAAUGGAUUUAUAUUUUGUCUCUUUUUUAUGUUUUUACCUUAUCAUAUGCAUCAGACGUAGUUUUUAAGCUUCCUUUUUUACCUUUUUCUUAUAUUAUAUAGGGUUCCUAUGAUGUGAACGUGUAAGAGAAUAAUUAUAGCAUAUAUAGGCAUAAAGUGUAUGAUGCCGCGCGGAGAUCGAUGGUACAAAAUGUAUGACGCACGUACGUUUUAAUACAUUACUGAAGUAGGCGAUGUUUGUAGCUGUAGUCGUGUUUUUAUAUAUUGAAAUAGAAAUAAAUUCCGAAAAGAUUGUUUCUCUUAUGCAUACUCUUACUAAAAUAUAUACAUCAUCACGCUGAUAAUCGACCCACUUCGGAGGGAGCAUAAUUUAAUUUCGCAUCGCGCGCGUAAGUAUCAGUGAUGAAGUUUAUACAUCUGCGAUUUCCAAUGAAUUGAUUGCAUUCCGAAAAGUCUCCCCAAGUUUGCCGGGGGAAUGUCCGUGUACUCGCUGGAUUCCCUGGAAAACGAGCGGACAUCGACUCUGAAAAUCCCGGACUCGCUCGAACUAUGCACCGGAGGGAGUAAUGAAACCGCAGAGGUCGCCCGCGUAAAUCGGAGCAGCUCGAAGAAUGCGAUAAUUGCAUCGGGAGAAAAUUCGGCUGCUGCAGCGAGGCAAAAGGAAAUCCAGCAUCAGCUGCCGGCUUCCGGCAUUCCUCGCAAAAAGCUUGCCAGCGCAGCCCCACCCCCGGCUGCUGCUGCUGCAUCGCGACGACUCUCCGGACAGAAUAAGCGGCCCGAGUCUUACUUGGAACUCUAUCGUCGAAGAUUCAAGGGAGCGGCUGAUUCGUCGCAGAUCUUACGGCGACGCCGCGAGUGCCCUGAACUGCCAGCGCAUUAGUUCCGCGAGCAAAAAAGUCGUCGUCAGCAGCAGCCGUAACAAGAGCGUCGCUACGGUGCAGGGCCCUCAAAGUCGUCGCGCGCUGGAAAUCACCGAGGAGCCCUCCAGCUCUUCCGGCGUCUCAAAGCCGGCGGCGAUUCCUUCUUGCCGAUUGAAUCGGCAGGUCGUUAAGCGGAGCUGCAGCACCAGCACUGGACCCCCUCGACGCUGCAAUCAGUCGGCCAACGCGUCAUCCAUCACGAGGACGAGACUGCAGCCCGGGAAAUCGAAAGAAGGAGGCAAAGUCGAGGCGAGCUUGCAAGCGCUCAGGACGAGACAUUUCAAUGAGAAGCGAAUGAUAGAUCAACUCGUCGCCCGCGCAAUGUUGCUGCGCGCCUGAGCUUGCUUACACUGUUACUGUGUGUAGUUUUCUCGAAAGUUUCCAGCAUCCCUCCGGCUCGUUAUUAAUUCCGCUGUACCGAAAAUAAACCGUCGGGCCGCGAUGCUCCGAUUCUCUGCCUUAUCGUGUAUACAGCCGUUCUCUUGCGACGCAGCCUGGAAUAACAAAUUUCCGCGAGGAAUCUAAUAAAAACUUGCGAAUCUCCCCCGGGACCAAAAACGCUCAUCGGAUUUCUGUGUAUACCUCCGGAAAUAUAAACUGCUUUAACGUC